RNAcentral lists this ribosomal RNA (388 nucleotides) under uncultured bacterium. RNAcentral's name for it is "bacterial SSU rRNA". It matches the Rfam family "Bacterial small subunit ribosomal RNA", at positions 30 to 418 of the family's 1533-position model. The record is from RNAcentral.
AUUGAACGCUGGCGGCAUGCCUUACACAUGCAAGUCGAACGGCAGCACGGGAGCAAUCCUGGUGGCGAGUGGCGAACGGGUGAGUAAUAUAUCGGAACGUGCCCAGUCGUGGGGGAUAACGUAGCGAAAGCUACGCUAAUACCGCAUACGAUCUAUGGAUGAAAGCGGGGGAUCGCAAGACCUCGCGCGAUUGGAGCGGCCGAUAUCAGAUUAGGUAGUUGGUGAGGUAAAGGCUCACCAAGCCGACGAUCUGUAGCUGGUCUGAGAGGACGACCAGCCACACUGGGACUGAGACACGGCCCAGACUCCUACGGGAGGCAGCAGUGGGGAAUUUUGGACAAUGGGCGCAAGCCUGAUCCAGCAAUGCCGCGUGCAGGAUGAAGGCCUC